GUCUUCGGUGCGACAAAGCCAGCCCUCCGGUCACCAACCCGCCUGCCUACGUGGUGACUAUGGGCAAAACACACGAGUGUACGCCAUAAUGUCUUGCGCGAACUUAGGGAAGCCUAUGUCCAGCAGUCGACUGCGAUAGACUGAAGUGAUAA
Long non-coding RNA from Melitaea cinxia (Glanville fritillary), 152 nucleotides. RefSeq lists it as uncharacterized. The transcript has 3 exons. Lineage: Eukaryota; Metazoa; Arthropoda; Insecta; Lepidoptera; Nymphalidae. The record is from RefSeq and is a predicted model, not a curated record.